AAGGACCUGGGCUCGACGACAGGGACGUAUUUCUACCUGCGACCACACGGCCAUUUCCAGAUGUUUCCAGGGCUCAUGAUAAAGCUUGGAGAGACCGAGAUGCAGGUGAUGUCG
This 114-nucleotide non-coding RNA is filed under the name Pelagodinium bei. The record is from RNAcentral. Lineage: Eukaryota; Dinophyceae; Suessiales; Suessiaceae.